RNAcentral lists this ribosomal RNA (511 nucleotides) under uncultured Glomeromycotina. RNAcentral describes it as "SSU rRNA". It matches the Rfam family "Eukaryotic small subunit ribosomal RNA", at positions 548 to 1064 of the family's 1831-position model. Lineage: Eukaryota; Fungi; Glomeromycota. The record is from RNAcentral.
UUGGAGGGCAAGUCUGGUGCCAGCAGCCGCGGUAAUUCCAGCUCCAAUAGCGUAUAUCAAAGUUGUUGCAGUUAAAAAGCUCGUAGUUGAAUUUCGGGGUUCUACCGUUGGUCGGGCUAACCAGUCUGUACUAGCGUGUAAAAUUCCUACCUUCUGGAGAACCAUCAUGUUAUUAAUUUAGCGUGGUGGGAAACCAGGACCUUUACCUUGAAAAAAUUAGAGUGUUCAAAGCAGGCUUACGUCUGAAUACGUUAGCAUGGAAUAAUAGAAUAGGACGGUGGUCCUGUUUUGUUGGUUUCUGAAUCACCGUAAUGAUUAAUAGGGAUAGUUGGGGGCAUUAGUAUUCAAUUGUCAGAGGUGAAAUUCUUGGAUUUAUUGAAGACUAACUUCUGCGAAAGCAUUUGCCAAGGAUGUUUUCAUUAAUCAAGAACGAAAGUUAGGGGAUCGAAGACGAUCAGAUACCGUCGUAGUCUUAACCAUAAACUAUGCCGACUAGGGAUCGGACGAUGUU